This 87-nucleotide microRNA precursor is filed under the name Solanum tuberosum (potato). RNAcentral describes it as "MIR8024 microRNA precursor family". It matches the Rfam family "MIR8024 microRNA precursor family". Lineage: Eukaryota; Viridiplantae; Streptophyta; Magnoliopsida; Solanales; Solanaceae. The record is from Rfam by way of RNAcentral.
UUGGAGGAUUUGAAGACUUCAACUUGUAUACUUGAAUAAUUUAAAGACUUUAACUUACAUAUUUGAAGGAUUUGAAAUCUUAUAACA